GUUGGUGAACCAGCGGAGGGAUCAUUACUGAGUUUACGCUCUACAACCCUUUGUGAACAUACCUACAACUGUUGCUUCGGCGGGUAGGGUCCCCGUGACCCUCCCGGCCUCCCGCCCCCCCGGGCGGGCCGGCGCCCGCCGGAGGAUAACCAAACUCUGAUUUAACGACGUUUCUUCUGAGUGGUACAAGCAAAUAAUCAAAACUUUUAACAACGGAUCUCUUGGUUCUGGCAUCGAUGAAGAACGCAGCGAAAUGCGAUAAGUAAUGUGAAUUGCAGAAUUCAGUGAAUCAUCGAAUCUUUGAACGCACAUUGCGCCCGCCAGCAUUCUGGCGGGCAUGCCUGUUCGAGCGUCAUUUCAACCCUCAAGCUCUGCUUGGUGUUGGGGCCCUACAGCUGAUGUAGGCCCUCAAAGGUAGUGGCGGACCCUCCCGGAGCCUCCUUUGCGUAGUAACUUUACGUCUCGCACUGGGAUCCGGAGGGACUCUUGCCGUAAAACCCCCCAAUUUUCCAAAGGUUGACCUCGGAUCAGGUAG
RNAcentral lists this ribosomal RNA (535 nucleotides) under Colletotrichum gloeosporioides. Its description in RNAcentral is "eukaryotic LSU rRNA". The stretch from base 202 to 355 matches the Rfam family "5.8S ribosomal RNA". Lineage: Eukaryota; Fungi; Ascomycota; Sordariomycetes; Glomerellales; Glomerellaceae. The record is from RNAcentral.